This 488-nucleotide ribosomal RNA is filed under the name uncultured Acholeplasma sp. RNAcentral describes it as "bacterial SSU rRNA". It matches the Rfam family "Bacterial small subunit ribosomal RNA", at positions 904 to 1382 of the family's 1533-position model. The record is from RNAcentral. Lineage: Bacteria; Bacillati; Mycoplasmatota; Mollicutes; Acholeplasmatales; Acholeplasmataceae.
CGCCGCUCAGAAACUUAAAGAAUUGACGGACCCCGCACAAGCGGUGGAUCAUGUUGUUUAAUUCGAUGAUACGCGAAGAACCUUACCAGGUCUUGACAUCCCCCGCGAUGCUUUAGAGAUAAAGCGGAGGUAUUCGGGGAGACAGGUGGUGCAUGGUUGUCGUCAGCUCGUGUCGUGAGAUGUUGGGUUAAGUCCCGCAACGAGCGCAACCCCUAUUGCUAGUUACCAUCAUUAAGUUGGGGACUCUAGCGAGACUGCCAGUGAUAAACUGGAGGAAGGUGGGGAUGACGUCAAAUCAUCAUGCCCCUUAUGACCUGGGCUACAAACGUGAUACAAUGGCUGGAACAAAGGGAUGCGAAGCAGUGAUGUGGAGCGAAACCCAUAAAAAUAGUCUCAGUUCGGAUUGAAGUCUGCAACUCGACUUCAUGAAGUCGGAAUCGCUAGUAAUCGCGGAUCAGAACGCCGCGGUGAAUACGUUCUCGGGGUUU